RNAcentral lists this ribosomal RNA (254 nucleotides) under uncultured bacterium. RNAcentral's name for it is "partial 16S ribosomal RNA". It matches the Rfam family "Bacterial small subunit ribosomal RNA", at positions 524 to 776 of the family's 1533-position model. The record is from RNAcentral.
UACGGGGGGAGCAAGCGUUGUUCGGAUUUACUGGGCGUAAAGGGCGCGUAGGCGGUCAGCACAAGUCAGUUGUGAAAUCUCCGGGCUUAACUCGGAAAGGUCAACUGAUACUGUGCGACUAGAGUGCGGAAGGGGCAACUGGAAUUCUUGGUGUAGCGGUGAAAUGCGUAGAUAUCAGGAGGAACACCGAUGGCGAAGGCAGCUGCCUGGCCUAACACUGACGCUGAGGUGCGAAAGCGUGGGGAGCGAACGGG